CAGUAGCCGCGGUAAUACGUAGGGUGCAAGCGUUAAUCGGAAUUACUGGGCGUAAAGCGUGCGCAGGCGGUUAUAUAAGACAGAUGUGAAAUCCCCGGGCUCAACCUGGGAACUGCAUUUGUGACUGUAUAGCUAGAGUACGGCAGAGGGGGAUGGAAUUCCGCGUGUAGCAGUGAAAUGCGUAGAUAUGCGGAGGAACACCGAUGGCGAAGGCAAUCCCCUGGGCCUGUACUGACGCUCAUGCACGAAAUCGUGGGGAGCAAACAGGAUUAGAUACCCCCGUAGUCCCUGUCUCCUAUAA
This 301-nucleotide ribosomal RNA is filed under the name uncultured bacterium. RNAcentral describes it as "partial 16S ribosomal RNA". It matches the Rfam family "Bacterial small subunit ribosomal RNA", at positions 509 to 809 of the family's 1533-position model. The record is from RNAcentral.